GACAGAGGGUGCAAACGUUGCUCGGAAUCACUGGGCGUAAAGGGCGUGUAGGCGGGAAUGUAAGUCGGGCGUGAAAUCCCUAGGCUCAACCUAGGAACUGCACUCGAAACUGCGUUUCUUGAGUAUCGGAGAGGAAAGCGGAAUACCUGGUGUAGAGGUGAAAUUCGUAGAUAUCAGGUGGAACACCAGUGGCGAAGGCGGCUUUCUGGGCACCACCUGACGCUGAGGCGCGAAAGCGUGGGGAGCGAACCGG
This 253-nucleotide ribosomal RNA is filed under the name uncultured bacterium. RNAcentral describes it as "partial 16S ribosomal RNA". It matches the Rfam family "Bacterial small subunit ribosomal RNA", at positions 524 to 776 of the family's 1533-position model. The record is from RNAcentral.